UCAUAUAUGGUUGAGGACCACAAAGAGAAAAGAGAAUCAAUGAAAUCCUAACCUCAUCUCUUGCCCUUUUCAACUUUUCUCCUCAAAACCUCUUUCUCCACCGCUAUCUCUCUAUCUUCUUUCUGCCCUAAAUUUCCAUGCCAUUCUCUUGUGCUUAAUGAUAUGGAUGACACAUCAUCCAUAUAACAUAACACAUCAGCUAGC
RNAcentral lists this long non-coding RNA (204 nucleotides) under Elaeis guineensis (African oil palm). Its description in RNAcentral is "long non-coding RNA (EGUI_LNC021806)". The record is from RNAcentral. Lineage: Eukaryota; Viridiplantae; Streptophyta; Magnoliopsida; Arecales; Arecaceae.